This is a long non-coding RNA of Cotesia glomerata, 1027 nucleotides long. RefSeq lists it as uncharacterized. The record is from RefSeq and is a predicted model, not a curated record. NCBI's taxonomy places the organism in Eukaryota, Metazoa, Arthropoda, Insecta, Hymenoptera, Braconidae. The transcript is spliced from 3 exons.
GUUGUUGUUUACUACGGUACACAUAACCUGCGUUUUAUUUAAUUUUGAUGUGAAACAUUUUUAUUUUAAUUUUUGACAAUAAAAUAUGUGUGAUAGUGAUAACUCAGAAGAUCAAAGUGAUCAACCUUGUGCAAAGAAAGUGAAACUACACUAUGGCAUACGACCAAGUCAUCAUUCCCAACAAUCAUCACAGGGAUCACAAAAUAUUAUUAUUGAAACUGGACGCCACCCUGAUCAGUUAAACUCAAGACAUACUAUCAAUGUUGUGUAAGACUUUAUUAAUCGAAUAGUACCAGACUAUUUUAAUUUUUAUCUUAGAUCUGGCCGCUGGAGUGGCCAUUUACAAAAACAACAACACUUCACAUGUUACUACACUCAACAUGGAUCUAGCAGUUCAAAAUGCUACAGAAGUUCAUGUUUCCCAAAUAUCUAUUGGUGAUAUGUGUGCUUCACAUGUUAAACUAGGAGACGGAAGUGAAUUAAUUAUGAUUGUAGUAUACAUUUCACCUAAUAACAAAAUGGAUCAUAUAAUUUCAUUUUUACAUGAAAGCUGGAGAUUUUAAUGUAAAUUUUGCAAGAGCUGAAUCAAUGCCAUUAAUGACAUUUCUUCAAAAAGAAUUUCAAUUGCAAAUCAACAACAAUCCAAGAGAAUCUACUACCAAAUAUGGAACAACAAUAGAUGCUGUAUUUGUGAGAUAUCUUGAUAAUGUUUCAUCCAAUACUUUUGUAACGUACUUUAGUUAUCAUCGACCAAUCGUCACAGUAAUACCGGCAGAGGAAACAUCGAAUAUAACUAUUACUGAAGUCACAGAUGAAAAUGUUUAAAUUGUGGCCACUUGAUAUUAAUAUCGAAUUUUUAUAUCACAUGUAAAUAAAUGUUUAUUAAAUAAAGUUACCAUUUUCUGUAAGAAAUUCGUAAUACUUCAUUUUUUCAUUAGGCUAUAUUUAAUUCCUGUAAUAAUAUUAUCUUUUAUGCAUAUUACUUGUACACACACGAUGUUUCACAUCUGCCAGGCGUCCCAUGACG